This 253-nucleotide unclassified non-coding RNA is filed under the name uncultured Flavobacteriaceae bacterium. RNAcentral describes it as "contains 16S-23S intergenic spacer region". It matches the Rfam family "Bacterial small subunit ribosomal RNA", at positions 524 to 776 of the family's 1533-position model. Lineage: Bacteria; Pseudomonadati; Bacteroidota; Flavobacteriia; Flavobacteriales; Flavobacteriaceae. The record is from RNAcentral.
UACGGAGGAUCCGAGCGUUAUCCGGAAUCAUUGGGUCUAAAGGGUCCGUAGGCGGGAUGAUAAGUCAGUGGUGAAAGUCUGCAGCUCAACUGUAGAACUGCCAUUGAUACUGUUGUCCUUGUGUCAUUAUGAAGCGGUUAGAAUAUGUAGUGUAGCGGUGAAAUGCAUAGAUAUUACAUAGAAUACCGAUUGCGAAGGCAGAUCACUAAUAAUGUACUGACGCUGAUGGACGAAAGCGUAGGUAGCGAACGGG